RNAcentral lists this ribosomal RNA (504 nucleotides) under uncultured bacterium. RNAcentral's name for it is "partial 16S ribosomal RNA". It matches the Rfam family "Bacterial small subunit ribosomal RNA", at positions 28 to 507 of the family's 1533-position model. The record is from RNAcentral.
GACGAACGCUGGCGGCGUGCCUAAUACAUGCAAGUAGAACGCACAGUUUAUACCGUAGCUUGCUACACCAUAAACUGUGAGUUGCGAACGGGUGAGUAACGCGUAGGUAACCUGCCUGGUAGCGGGGGAUAACUAUUGGAAACGAUAGCUAAUACCGCAUAAUAUUAAUUAUUGCAUGAUAAUUGAUUGAAAGAUGCAAUUGCAUCACUACCAGAUGGACCUGCGUUGUAUUAGCUAGUAGGUGAGGUAACGGCUCACCUAGGCGACGAUACAUAGCCGACCUGGGAGGUGGAUCGGCCACCCUGGAACUGGAACACGCCCCAGACUCCUACGGAAGGCGCAAGUAGGGAAUCUUCGGCAAUGAACGAAAGUCUGACCGGGCACCGCCGCUGGGGUGAGGAAGGUUUUCGAAUCGUAAAGCCCGUUUUUAAGGGAGGAACGGGUGGGGGGGUGAAAGGUCCCCCCGGUGACGGUAUUUUACAGAAAGGGACGGCUAACUACGUG